RNAcentral lists this ribosomal RNA (386 nucleotides) under uncultured bacterium. RNAcentral describes it as "bacterial SSU rRNA". It matches the Rfam family "Bacterial small subunit ribosomal RNA", at positions 29 to 416 of the family's 1533-position model. The record is from RNAcentral.
AUUGAACGCUGGCGGUAGGCCUAACACAUGCAAGUCGAACGCGAAAGUCCUUCGGAGUGAGUAGAGUGGCGGACGGGUGAGUAACGCGUAGGAAUCUAUCCUGUAGUGGGGGAGUAACGUUUCGAAAGGAACGCUAAUACCGCAUACGCCCCAACGGGGGAAAGCGGGGGAGUCUUCGGACCUCGUGCUAUAGGAGGAGCCUGCGUCGGAUUAGCUAGUUGGUGAGGUAAAGGCUCACCAAGGCGACGAUCCGUAGCUGGUCUGAGAGGAUGAUCAGCCACACCGGAACUGAGACACGGUCCGGACUCCUACGGGAGGCAGCAGUGGGGAAUAUUGCGCAAUGGGCGAAAGCCUGACGCAGCCAUACCGCGUGUGUGAAGAAGGCC